Molecule: ribosomal RNA, 253 nt
Filed under: uncultured bacterium
Lineage: Bacteria
Description: partial 16S ribosomal RNA
Rfam family: Bacterial small subunit ribosomal RNA
Source: RNAcentral
UACGUAGGCAGCGAGCGUUGUUCGGAAUUACUGGGCGCAAAGAGUGUGUAGGCGGUGCCUUAAGUUCGGUGUGAAAUCUCCCGGCUCAACUGGGAGGGUGCGCCGGAAACUGGGGUGCUCGAACGUGGGAGAGGAAAGCGGAAUUCCUGGUAUAGCGGUGAAAUGCGUAGAUAUCCGUAGGAACAUCCGAGGCGAAGGCGGCUCGCUGGAUCACAACUGACGCUGAGGGACGAAAGCUAGGGGAGCAAACAGG